This 776-nucleotide ribosomal RNA is filed under the name uncultured Neocallimastigales. RNAcentral describes it as "partial large subunit ribosomal RNA". It matches the Rfam family "Eukaryotic large subunit ribosomal RNA", at positions 26 to 627 of the family's 3401-position model. Lineage: Eukaryota; Fungi; Neocallimastigomycota; Neocallimastigomycetes; Neocallimastigales. The record is from RNAcentral.
CGUCUAUAUACGUAUAGCAUAUCAAUAAGCGGAGGAAAAGAAACUAACUAGGAUUCCCUUAGUAACGGCGAGUGAAGCGGGAAGAGCUCAAAUAUGAAAUCUUCAAGGUUUUACCUUGACGAAUUGUAGUUUAAAGAAGUGUUUUCUGUUGGAGUUUUGGUAAAAGUUCUUUGGAAUAGGACAUCAUAGAGGGUGAGAAUCCCGUAUUUGACCAUUUCUUCCAGCUGUGUGAUACACUUUCAAAGAGUCGGAUUGUUUGGGAAUGCAGUCCAAAAUGGGUGGUAAAUUUCAUCUAAAGCUAGAUAUUGGCGAGAGACCGAUAGCGAACAAGUACCGUGAGGGAAAGAUGAAAAGAACUUUGAAAAGAGAGUUAAACAGUACGUGAAAUUGUCAAAAGGGAAGCGUUUGACACCAGUGUUGUUUUCUCGAAAAUCAAUUAAAAAUGACCGGAUUUUGUGUUGUAUUGACUUUAUCAGCUUUCUGCACUUUUUUCUUGUCUUUUUUAAUGCACUUUCGUUUAACAAGUCAACAUCAAUUUCUUUUGUUGUAAAAGAGUCAUUGGAAGGUGGCUUUCAUUUCGGUGAAAGUGUUUAUAGCCUUUGACUUCUGCAAUCGGAGAGAUUGAGGUCUGCAGCGUAGAUCCUUCGGGGUUAGAUACAUUUGUGCUAAGUUAUAGUUUUUCAUAGACAACAUGUUGACUAUGAUUUAAUCAUUGUAGCUUACUCGCUUACUGCUAUUUUACCUACGCUUAGGAUGUUGAUAGUCACAGCGUGUAC